AUUGAACGCUGGCGGCAUGCCUUACACAUGCAAGUCGAACGGCAGCACGGGCGCAAUCCUGGUGGCGAGUGGCGAACGGGUGAGUAAUAUAUCGGAACGUGACCAGCCGGGGGGGAUAACGCAGCGAAAGCUGUGCUAAUACCGCAUACGAUAUAUGGAUGAAAGCGGGGGGUCGCAAGACCUCGCCCCAUUGGAGCGGCCGAGAUGAGAUCAGCUAGGUGGUGGGGUAAAGGCCCACCAAGGCGACGAUCUGUAGCUGGUCUGAGAGGACGACCAGCCACACUGGAACUGAGACACGGUCCAGACUCCUACGGGAGGCAGCAGUGGGGAAUUUUAGACAAUGGGCGCAAGCCUGAUCCAGCAAUGCCGCGUGCAGGAUGAAGGCCUUCGGGUUGUAAACUGCUUUUGUACGGAACGAAACGGUCCUUUCUAAUACAGAGGGCUAAUGACGGUACCGUAAGAAUAAGCACCGGCUAACUACGUGCCAGCCGCCGCGGUAA
RNAcentral lists this ribosomal RNA (500 nucleotides) under uncultured bacterium. Its description in RNAcentral is "partial 16S ribosomal RNA". It matches the Rfam family "Bacterial small subunit ribosomal RNA", at positions 29 to 523 of the family's 1533-position model. The record is from RNAcentral.